RNAcentral lists this ribosomal RNA (468 nucleotides) under uncultured bacterium. Its description in RNAcentral is "partial 16S ribosomal RNA". It matches the Rfam family "Bacterial small subunit ribosomal RNA", at positions 28 to 507 of the family's 1533-position model. The record is from RNAcentral.
GACGAACGCUGGCGGCGUGCUUAACACAUGCAAGUCGAACGGAAAGGCCCUGCUUUUGUGGGGUGCUCGAGUGGCGAACGGGUGAGUAACACGUAAGUAACCUGCCCUUGACUUUGGGAUAACUUCAGGAAACUGGGGCUAAUACCGGAUAGGAGCUCCUGCUGCAUGGUGGGGGUUGGAAAGUUUCGGCGGUUGGGGAUGGACUCGCGGCUUAUCAGCUUGUUGGUGGGGUAGUGGCUUACCAAGGCUUUGACGGGUAGCCGGCCUGAGAGGGUGACCGGCCACAUUGGGACUGAGAUACGGCCCAGACUCCUACGGGAGGCAGCAGUGGGGAAUAUUGCACAAUGGGCGGAAGCCUGAUGCAGCAACGCCGCGUGCGGGAUGACGGCCUUCGGGUUGUAAACCGCUUUCGCCUGUGACGAAGCGUGAGUGGCGGUAAUGGGUAAAGAAGCACCGGCUAACUACGUG